GACGAACGCUGGCGGCGUGCCUAAUACAUGCAAGUCGAACGCACUCUCGUUUAGAUUGCAGGAGUUUGCUCCUGGUUGAUAAACAUUUGAGUGAGUGGCGGACGGGCUAGUAACACGUGGGUAACCUGCCCUAAAGUGGGGGACAACAUUUGGAAACAGAUGCUAAUACCGCAUAAAACCUAACACCGCAUGGUGUGGGGUUGAAAGAUGGUUUCGGCUUUCACUUUAGGAUGGAUCCGCGGUGCAUUAGCUAGUUGGUGAGGUAAAGGCUCACCAAGACCGCGAUGCAUAGCCGGCCUGAGAGGGUGAUCGGCCACACUGGGACUGAGACACGGCCCAGACUCCUACGGGAGGCAGCAGUAGGGAAUCUUCCACAAUGGGCGAAAGUCUGAUGGAGCAACGCCGCGUGAGUGAAGAAGGUUUUCGGAUCGUAAAACUCUGUUGUUGGGGAAGAAUGUAUCUGAUAGUAACUGAUCAGGUAGUGACGGUACCCAAACAGAAAGCCACGGCUAACUACGUG
Molecule: ribosomal RNA, 520 nt
Filed under: uncultured bacterium
Lineage: Bacteria
Description: partial 16S ribosomal RNA
Rfam family: Bacterial small subunit ribosomal RNA
Source: RNAcentral